UAUUUCAAUCACAUCCUCAGCAUGGUAGGCAACUGAUCUGAUUUCAGAUACCCAGUUGCGGAUUGUUGCGGCUUGCUCUUCCACUUGCAAGCUCGUUUCCCACUCCUUCAACUUGUUCCUGGACAUUUUUCAGACAACUUCUUCUUUGAGCAGAUCAAAAAGCCGCUCUGCAACAAAGGAAACUGCUGCUUCAGCCAUCUCUGGUUUUCUCUCGCUCCUUUUUUCUU
RNAcentral lists this long non-coding RNA (227 nucleotides) under Nicotiana benthamiana. RNAcentral describes it as "long non-coding RNA (NBEN_LNC000801)". Lineage: Eukaryota; Viridiplantae; Streptophyta; Magnoliopsida; Solanales; Solanaceae. The record is from RNAcentral.